Molecule: ribosomal RNA, 633 nt
Filed under: uncultured archaeon
Lineage: Archaea
Description: bacterial SSU rRNA
Rfam family: Archaeal small subunit ribosomal RNA
Source: RNAcentral
UCGCCCUUAAUGCUCAGUAACACGUAGCUAACCUACCCUCAGGACGGGUAAAACCUCGGGAAACUGAGGUUAAUACCCGAUAGGUAUGGAAUCCUGGAAUGGUGCCAUGCCUAAAAGUAAUCGCAUCCAUGUUUGCGUGCACGCCUGAGGAUGGGGCUGCGGCCGAUCAGGCAGUUGGUGAGGUAACGGCUCACCAAACCUUUGACCGGUACGGGCCAUGAGAGUGGUAGCCCGGAGAUGGGCACUGAGACAAGGGCCCAGGCCCUACGGGGCGCAGCCGGUACGAAACCUCCACAAUUCACGAAAGUGAGAUGGGGUUACCUCGAGUGCCGUCUGAAGAAGGCGGCUUUUCCAUUGUGUAAUGAGCCGUGGGAAUAAGGGGGGGGCAAGACUGGUGUCAGCCGCCGCGGUAACACCAGCCCCCCGAGUGGUGGGGAUGAUUAUUUGGCCUAAAGCGUCCGUAGCCGGCCCGGUAAAUCCCUCGUUAAAUCCAGCGUCCUAAGCGUUGGGCUGCGAGAGAGACUGCCGGACUAGAGGGUGGGAGAGGUCAGCGGUAUUCCUGGGGUAGGGGCGAAAUCCAUUGAUCCCAGGAGGACCACCAGUGGCGAAGGCUGCUGACUAGAACACGCCUGA